This 459-nucleotide ribosomal RNA is filed under the name uncultured bacterium. Its description in RNAcentral is "partial 16S ribosomal RNA". It matches the Rfam family "Bacterial small subunit ribosomal RNA", at positions 338 to 795 of the family's 1533-position model. The record is from RNAcentral.
CCUACGGGGGGCAGCAGUGAGGAAUAUUGGUCAAUGGGCGCAGGCCUGAACCAGCCAAGUCGCGUGAGGGAUGACGGUCCUAUGGAUUGUAAACCUCUUUUGUCAGGGAGCAAAGGGAGCCACGUGUGGCGUUUUGCGAGUACCUGAAGAAAAAGCAUCGGCUAACUCCGUGCCAGCAGCCGCGGUAAUACGGAGGAUGCGAGCGUUAUCCGGAUUUAUUGGGUUUAAAGGGUGCGCAGGCGGAAUGUAAAGUCAGCGGUAAAAUUUCGGGGCUCAACCCCGUCGUGCCGUUGAAACUGGCGUUCUUGAGGAAGCGAGAAGUAUGCGGAAUGCGUGGUGUAGCGGUGAAAUGCAUAGAUAUCACGCAGAACUCCGAUUGCGAAGGCAGCAUACCGGCGCUCAACUGACGCUCAUGCACGAAAGCGUGGGUAUCGAACAGGAUUAGAUACCCGAGUAGUC